AGAAUCAACGCUGGCGGCGUGCCUAACACAUGCAAGUCGAACGAGAAAGGGUAGCAAUACCUGAGUAAAGUGGCGCACGGGUGAGUAACACGUGACUAACCUACCCUGGAGUGGGGGAUAACUGAGGGAAACCUUAGCUAAUACCGCAUAAUACCUACGGGUCAAAGGAGCAAUUCGCUUCAGGAGGGGGUCGCGGCCGAUUAGUUAGUUGGCGGGGUAAUGGCCCACCAAGACAGUGAUCGGUAUCCGGCCUGAGAGGGCGCACGGACACACUGGAACUGAAACACGGUCCAGACUCCUACGGGAGGCAGCAGUGGGAAUUUUGCGCAAUGGGGGAAACCCUGACGCAGCAACGCCGCGUGGAGGAUGAAGUCCUUCGGGACGUAACUCCUUUCGAUCGGGACGAUUAUGACGGUACCGGAAGAAGAAGCCCGGCUAACUUCGCGCCACGCAGCCGC
This 458-nucleotide ribosomal RNA is filed under the name uncultured bacterium. Its description in RNAcentral is "SSU rRNA". It matches the Rfam family "Bacterial small subunit ribosomal RNA", at positions 26 to 518 of the family's 1533-position model. The record is from RNAcentral.